UUGAAUUUCGGGACUAAUAUGUCGGUCGUGCCUCGGUACGAACUGGUUUAUUGGUUUCUCCUUUCUGAAGAACCAUGAUGUCAUUUAUUGGUGUCGUGGGGGAAUCAGGACUGUUACUUGUAAAAAAUUAGAGUGUUUAAAGCAGGCUCACGCUUGAAUACAUUAGCAUGGAAUAAUGAAAUAGGACGUUUGAUUCUAUUUUGUUGGUUUCUAGGAUCGACGUAAUGAUUAAUAGGGAUAGUUGGGGGCAUUAGUAUUCAAUUGUCAGAGGUGAAAUUCUUGGAUUUAUUGAAGACUAACUACUGAGAAAGCAUUUGCCAAGGAUGUUUUCAUUAAUCAAGAACGAAAGUUAGGGGAUCGAAGACGAUCAGAUACCGUCGUAGUCUUAACCAUAAACUAUGCCGACUAGGGAUCGGAUGAUGUUAAUUUUUAAUGACUC
Molecule: ribosomal RNA, 439 nt
Filed under: fungal sp.
Lineage: Eukaryota; Fungi
Description: SSU rRNA
Rfam family: Eukaryotic small subunit ribosomal RNA
Source: RNAcentral